CCAAUCUCGUUCCCCGAGCCUGCGAUCCUCGGGAAGGAACGCGAGGCUCUGAGAUAAUCCGUUGCCGGAAGCCAGGAAUCCUGGCUAAGAUUGAACUGCGCAUUUCAUAUCAACGGCCAAUCAGAUUCCUACCUGAAACGGAAGUGAAGCCAAGAUCGGACUUCGCGGUUAACACGAAGCUUUAAGAAGUGUGCCAAAAUUUCGUAUUUUGAGAUCGAUUUAUACUCUGAUAUACGAACGCUCCUUUAGAAAAAACUGGAAUUAGCUGGGAGAAAUAAUAUGAAAACUCUGUACGACCUUCAUAGAUUUUGAACGUUAAUGUCCGCCAUUUUGUCUUCGCUUUUCUCAUGGGUCGAGUGACUGAAUUUCUCGCUCCAGAUUUAUAGAGUUCACUGAUGAGUUCACGGCGA
Molecule: non-coding RNA, 410 nt
Organism: Paramuricea clavata
Lineage: Eukaryota; Metazoa; Cnidaria; Anthozoa; Malacalcyonacea; Plexauridae
Source: the annotation of a GenBank genome assembly